Molecule: long non-coding RNA, 281 nt
Organism: Thamnophis elegans (Western terrestrial garter snake)
Lineage: Eukaryota; Metazoa; Chordata; Lepidosauria; Squamata; Natricidae
Exons: 2
Source: RefSeq, a predicted model, not a curated record
CUUGGGCAAACGGGACUUCAAAGGUUUCUCAAGAAAAGUUCGCUUCGCACUUCCUCUGUUGAAAUAGGGCCCUGAAAUUGCAAAGUAGGGAGAAGACUCAAGAUAGCUGGUGCGGGGCUCUUCAACCAGUAACGGUGCGGCGGACGAUGUUGACCAACAAUGUUGGUUACAAUGAGCAGGCCGGGGAUGUUCUGCCGCAGGUGGGCCAAGAGGCGGCACCCACUACAGCCUCCACCGCUCCUUCAGCGGCCUUCAGUAGCGAUGGCAAGAAAAAUGAAGAU